GCCUCUGAUUAAAGGGUUUGUUUAGUUGUACAAGUGAAUCGAGAGUAAUUUCUGUAUGAAAGCCAUUGUCAAUCAUUUUGAAAGUAUGAUUGGUCUGAUAAUGGCGAGAUAUGAUCACCUUGAAGUGGGUUGGAAAGUACCCCUUCUAGUGAAUUAGUGUUCAAUAUGUGUUAACUCCUUUCUUAUUAACAAUAUAUGUGUGUGUGUGUGAUCAAAGGACUAUAUGAGUCAUAUGACUG
Molecule: long non-coding RNA, 239 nt
Filed under: Elaeis guineensis (African oil palm)
Lineage: Eukaryota; Viridiplantae; Streptophyta; Magnoliopsida; Arecales; Arecaceae
Description: long non-coding RNA (EGUI_LNC026314)
Source: RNAcentral